This 92-nucleotide microRNA precursor is filed under the name Tupaia belangeri (northern tree shrew). RNAcentral describes it as "miRNA (ENSTBEG00000019917.1)". The record is from RNAcentral. Lineage: Eukaryota; Metazoa; Chordata; Mammalia; Scandentia; Tupaiidae.
UAUAUAUAUAUAUAUAUAUAUAUAUACACACACACACAUAUAUGUGUGUGUAUGUGUGUGUGUGUGUGUGUAUAGUAAGGAUAGGGAAAAUA